Melanotaenia boesemani (Boeseman's rainbowfish) is the source of this 102-nucleotide long non-coding RNA. RefSeq lists it as uncharacterized. The record is from RefSeq and is a predicted model, not a curated record. NCBI's taxonomy places the organism in Eukaryota, Metazoa, Chordata, Actinopteri, Atheriniformes, Melanotaeniidae. The transcript is spliced from 3 exons.
ACACACACACACACCAAAACAUGUGUGAGAUGUUAUCUGUGUGUGUGUUCCAUAAACAGGUGUUUUUUACAUUGUUCUAUAUUUUACAUUGUGUGAGCUCUA